Molecule: ribosomal RNA, 421 nt
Filed under: uncultured bacterium
Lineage: Bacteria
Description: partial 16S ribosomal RNA
Rfam family: Bacterial small subunit ribosomal RNA
Source: RNAcentral
UGGGGAAUUUUGACAAUGGGCGAAAGCCUGAUCCAGCAAUGCCGCGUGUGUGAAGAAGGCCUUCGGGUUGUAAAGCACUUUUGUCCGGAAAGAAAUCCUUGGCUCUAAUACAGUCGGGGGAUGACGGUACCGGAAGAAUAAGCACCGGCUAACUACGUGCCAGCAGCCGCGGUAAUACGUAGGGUGCAAGGCGUUAAUCGGAAUUACUGGGCGUAAAGCGUGCGCAGGCGGUUUGCUAAGACCGAUGUGAAAUCCCCGGGCUCAACCUGGGAACUGCAUUGGUGACUGGCAGGCUAGAGUAUGGCAGAGGGGGGUAGAAUUCCACGUGUAGCAGUGAAAUGCGUAGAGAUGUGGAGGAAUACCGAUGGCGAAAGGCAGCCCCCUGGGCCAAAUACUGACGCUCAUGCACGAAAGCGUGGGG